Molecule: long non-coding RNA, 337 nt
Filed under: Mytilus galloprovincialis (Mediterranean mussel)
Lineage: Eukaryota; Metazoa; Mollusca; Bivalvia; Mytilida; Mytilidae
Source: RNAcentral
CUUUUUGAACACCUGCAAAAACCUCCGGUUGUAAGGUGGGGUUCGUGUCAUUCAGUUUUCAGUUUUCUACUUUGAGUUUUGUAGACUGGUGUUUGUCUUCUGCUCGCUUUUCAUUUUAUUACCAUGGCAUUGUUAGUGUAUCUUUGAAUUAUUGUUUGAAUGCCCCUUUGGUAUCUUUCGUCUCGUUUUGGGUUUCCAUCUGAACAUUUGGAUGUAGUAAUUUUCAUAACAUGUACAGCAAUAAAACUAUGUUGAUAAUAUCUUGUGACCGAGGUCUUUUUGUAAAAAAAGAGAUACUAAACCAACGGGAACAAGUGCCAGCUAGGGUACUGACACC